Syzygium oleosum is the source of this 1643-nucleotide RNA transcript. It is a transcript of the gene named histone acetyltransferase MCC1-like, with no coding region annotated. Lineage: Eukaryota; Viridiplantae; Streptophyta; Magnoliopsida; Myrtales; Myrtaceae. The record is from RefSeq and is a predicted model, not a curated record. The transcript is spliced from 7 exons.
GAAGGAGCAUUGACAAGUUGGGGGAAGAAGAACCCGAAAAAACGCAGGAGGAGCAAUGCCGUUUUAGAUUCCAUUCGCAUUUCCACCUCCUUCAAUUUGCCCAUAAGAGAAAAAAAAAGGAAUCUUUACGCACUGGAUCGAUCGAUCGAUCGAUGGCUCGAUCAUCAUCGGGAUGAAGUAGAUCACCUCCUUCGAUUCUCCGCUUCUCUGGUCAACGAAUUCGUCCUGAAACUUCAGCUCUCUCUCUCCCUCCCCCCCUCGUCUUCGAUCGCGUUCGGUUCCUCGUUCGUGUUCAUCUUGCGAUCCGGGGAUGUCCUGUUCGCGAUUCACAUGGUGUUCUUACUGCAUGGAUGUGGCGGCUGAUGGGGCAUAAAUGGGAAGAGAGGUCUUACUACGAGUUCUCCGCAUAUAUCCAGUUUUUGCUGGGGAUUAACAUCUUGAUAGACAAUGGUCCCGCUAACCUCUUGCCACUCGACCAUAAGCUAUAGGCCAAUACGUCCAUCUGAUCUUGAAAUCUUAGAGAAGAUUCAUGGUGAUUUAUUUCCCAUUAGUUGGAUCUACAGGUAUGAAUCUGAGUUCUUCCAAGAUGUUGCCCAUGGACAUGGAAUAGUGUCUUGGGCAGCCGUUGACCAUAGCCGUGAUGAUGGAAAAGGUGAUGAGCUAAUUGGAUUCAUAACAGUAAGGGUUGUUCUCGCAACGGAAAGUGAGAUCGUGGAUCUGCUUAAAUAUGAUUCUGCAGAAUCAGAAUUGUCAUUAGUCUACAUUCUGACGCUGGGCGUGGUGGAUAGUUACAGGAAUCUUGGAAUAGCCUCUUCGCUUAUUAUUGAGGUUAUCAAGUAUGCCUCUAGCAUCCCAAAUUGUCGAGCUGUUUAUUUGCAUGUGAUAUCUUACAACUUUCCUGCCAUACACCUAUACAAGAAAAUGUCAUUCAAGUGUAUACGGAGAUUGCCGGGUUUUUAUCUGAUUGAUGGCCAGUAUUACGAUUCCUACCUGUUUGUUUACUUUGUAAAAGGCUGUCAGUCUCCUUACUCCCCACUGGAGCUUGUCACAGCCAUCAUGAGAUAUGUACGGAGCGGUUUCCAGUCGAUUUCUGCAAAGCUGUGGAGCAAUGAAAGGAAGGUCGGGUGGAUGGUCCAGAUGUAAUGAAGCUCAUUCUCUAAUGUAGGUGGCACAGAACAAGAGAAUCCUCAAGUCUCAGAGAGCUGGGGAUGAGUGUAUACUAUACUUGACAUGGAUGUCAUCCCUUGCCCAACGACUUGACUGAGGAAGUGAGGCGCAUUCUCCGCUGGCCCAUUGCUGUAGGGGUUACCAGCGAAUGAUGACUAACUAGUUUCAUGAAUGGACCACCAAGCACCUGGCGUGGUGACGAGAGAGGUGGUGACGAGAGAGGGGGUCGGGAAAGGGCUGAGGAAGAUAUAUCAUGGGGUAAAAGUACAGGGACAAAUUCAUCAAUGUAUAGUAGAGCUAUCUCUCUAAGAUACUCUUGAAGUGGCUAUAGGUGCAUUUUCUGUGUAUGGAGGUGUGAUUUGGCUGAGAGUUUCAGGCUUACAUGACCAUGAGCUUUUUCAUAUCAUAUCGCUGAUCUCAUUUCUAGUGAAAGGAUAUUGGAGGAGUCAUUCAUCUUUGAAAAAUCAGUUUCAACA